AGUGAACGCUGGCGGUAGGCCUAACACAUGCAAGUCGAACGGCAGCACAGGAGAGCUUGCUCUCUGGGUGGCGAGUGGCGGACGGGUGAGGAAUACAUCGGAAUCUACUUUUUCGUGGGGGAUAACGUAGGGAAACUUACGCUAAUACCGCAUACGACCUACGGGUGAAAGCAGGGGACCUUCGGGCCUUGCGCGAUUGAAUGAGCCGAUGUCGGAUUAGCUAGUUGGCGGGGUAAAGGCCCACCAAGGCGACGAUCCGUAGCUGGUCUGAGAGGAUGAUCAGCCACACUGGAACUGAGACACGGUCCAGACUCCUACGGGAGGCAGCAGUGGGGAAUAUUGGACAAUGGGCGCAAGCCUGAUCCAGCCAUACCGCGCGGGUGAAGAAGGCCUUCGGGUUGUAAAGCCCUUUUGUUGGGAAAGAAAUCCAGCUGGUUAAUACCCGGUUGGGAUGACGGUACCCAAAGAAUAAGCACCGGCUAACUUCGUGCCAGCCGCCGCGGUAA
RNAcentral lists this ribosomal RNA (506 nucleotides) under uncultured bacterium. RNAcentral describes it as "partial 16S ribosomal RNA". It matches the Rfam family "Bacterial small subunit ribosomal RNA", at positions 29 to 523 of the family's 1533-position model. The record is from RNAcentral.